GCUUUCAUGGUGUAGUGGUCAGCACGCUCGACGCGUAUUCGAGAGGUUCGUGGUUCGAGUCCCGGUGAGGGUA
This 73-nucleotide transfer RNA is filed under the name Stegodyphus mimosarum. It matches the Rfam family "tRNA". From Rfam's summary of the family: Transfer RNA (tRNA) molecules are approximately 80 nucleotides in length. Their secondary structure includes four short double-helical elements and three loops (D, anti-codon, and T loops). The record is from Rfam by way of RNAcentral. Lineage: Eukaryota; Metazoa; Arthropoda; Arachnida; Araneae; Eresidae.